Molecule: ribosomal RNA, 1327 nt
Filed under: Moraxella sp.
Lineage: Bacteria; Pseudomonadati; Pseudomonadota; Gammaproteobacteria; Moraxellales; Moraxellaceae
Description: bacterial SSU rRNA
Rfam family: Bacterial small subunit ribosomal RNA
Source: RNAcentral
AUGCAAGUCGAACGAUGAUUAUCUAGCUUGCUAGAUAUGAUUAGUGGCGGACGGGUGAGUAACAUUUAGGAAUCUGCCUAGUAGUGGGGGAUAGCUCGGGGAAACUCGAAUUAAUACCGCAUACGACCUACGGGUGAAAGGGGGCGCAAGCUCUUGCUAUUAGAUGAGCCUAAAUCAGAUUAGCUAGUUGGUGGGGUAAAGGCCCACCAAGGCGACGAUCUGUAACUGGUUUGAGAGGAUGAUCAGUCACACCGGAACUGAGACACGGUCCGGACUCCUACGGGAGGCAGCAGUGGGGAAUAUUGGACAAUGGGGGCAACCCUGAUCCAGCCAUGCCGCGUGUGUGAAGAAGGCCUUUUGGUUGUAAAGCACUUUAAGCAGGGAGGAGAGGCUAAUGGUUAAUACCCAUUAGAUUAGACGUUACCUGCAGAAUAAGCACCGGCUAACUCUGUGCCAGCAGCCGCGGUAAUACAGAGGGUGCGAGCGUUAAUCGGAAUUACUGGGCGUAAAGCGAGUGUAGGUGGCUCAUUAAGUCACAUGUGAAAUCCCCGGGCUUAACCUGGGAACUGCAUGUGAUACUGGUGGUGCUAGAAUAUGUGAGAGGGAAGUAGAAUUCCAGGUGUAGCGGUGAAAUGCGUAGAGAUCUGGAGGAAUACCGAUGGCGAAGGCAGCUUCCUGGCAUAAUAUUGACACUGAGAUUCGAAAGCGUGGGUAGCAAACAGGAUUAGAUACCCUGGUAGUCCACGCCGUAAACGAUGUCUACUAGCCGUUGGGGUCCUUGAGACUUUAGUGGCGCAGUUAACGCGAUAAGUAGACCGCCUGGGGAGUACGGCCGCAAGGUUAAAACUCAAAUGAAUUGACGGGGGCCCGCACAAGCGGUGGAGCAUGUGGUUUAAUUCGAUGCAACGCGAAGAACCUUACCUGGUCUUGACAUAGUGAGAAUCCUGCAGAGAUGCGGGAGUGCCUUCGGGAAUUCACAUACAGGUGCUGCAUGGCUGUCGUCAGCUCGUGUCGUGAGAUGUUGGGUUAAGUCCCGCAACGAGCGCAACCCUUUUCCUUAUUUGCCAGCGGGUUAAGCCGGGAACUUUAAGGAUACUGCCAGUGACAAACUGGAGGAAGGCGGGGACGACGUCAAGUCAUCAUGGCCCUUACGACCAGGGCUACACACGUGCUACAAUGGUAGGUACAGAGGGUUGCUACACAGCGAUGUGAUGCUAAUCUCAAAAAGCCUAUCGUAGUCCGGAUUGGAGUCUGCAACUCGACUCCAUGAAGUCGGAAUCGCUAGUAAUCRCAGAUCAGAAUGCUGCGGUGAAUACGUUCCCGGGCC